UUGGCUCAGGAUGAACGCUGGCGGCGUGCCUAACACAUGCAAGUCGAACGGAGCAUAGACGCUGUGAGAAGAAUCAGCUUGCUGAGGAAGCGAACUUGUUUAUGCUUAGUGGCGGACGGGUGAGUAACGCGUGGAUAACCUGGCUCACACAGGGGGAUAGCAGCUGGAAACGACUGAUAAUACCGCAUAAGCGCACGGCAUCGCAUGAUGCAGUGUGAAAAGAUUUAUCGGUGUGAGAUGGAUCCGCGUCUGAUUAGCCAGUUGGCGGGGUAACGGCCCACCAAAGCGACGAUCAGUAGCCGGCCUGAGAGGGCGGACGGCCACAUUGGGACUGAGACACGGCCCAGACUCCUACGGGAGGCAGCAGUAGGGAAUA
Molecule: ribosomal RNA, 376 nt
Filed under: uncultured rumen bacterium
Lineage: Bacteria
Description: bacterial SSU rRNA
Rfam family: Bacterial small subunit ribosomal RNA
Source: RNAcentral